This 373-nucleotide long non-coding RNA is filed under the name Heterocephalus glaber (naked mole-rat). RNAcentral's name for it is "lncRNA (ENSHGLG00000042764.1)". The record is from RNAcentral. Lineage: Eukaryota; Metazoa; Chordata; Mammalia; Rodentia; Bathyergidae.
GCUUUUUUAUUUAUUUAUUUUUAUUUUUAUUUUUUUUUUUUCAUCCUCACUUUCUCUCUGCUCCUGAGACAGCCCCAGCUUUCUCUUGCCCCAGGGCCUUUGCACUUGCUGUUCUCACUUCUAAAAUACUCUCACCCUAGGUCCCACUGUGGCUGACUCCUUCUCUCCCGGGUCUCAGCCCAAAGCCCACUCCUCAGAAAAAUCCUUCAGUGUUUAGUCUGCUGUACACUUGAGCUCCAGCCCUCUCGAUGAUUGUCUCUGCACAAAACCCACUUGGCUCCCGGCUGGGGGUAGACGCGGAACACAGCCCAUCCACGCGGCCCCAUGGUGCACAGCGGCUGUGUCUCGGGCCAGCGAGGGAGGCGGACGUGGG